AGCAUUCUGUAUCUGUGCUGAGAUUUCACCACACACUAGACCAUAAAGGCUGAUGAGACUUCCAAAAUAAGUGGACCG
RNAcentral lists this microRNA precursor (78 nucleotides) under Schistosoma margrebowiei. Its description in RNAcentral is "mir-3492 microRNA precursor family". It matches the Rfam family "mir-3492 microRNA precursor family". The record is from Rfam by way of RNAcentral. Lineage: Eukaryota; Metazoa; Platyhelminthes; Trematoda; Strigeidida; Schistosomatidae.